UACGGAGGAUCCGAGCGUUAUCCGGAUUUAUUGGGUUUAAAGGGUGCGCAGGCGGGAGAUUAAGUCGGCGGUGAAAUUUUGCAGCUCAACUGUAAAAGUGCCUUCGAAACUGGUUUUCUUGAGUGUAGAUGAAGUAGGCGGAAUUUGUGGUGUAGCGGUGAAAUGCAUAGAUAUCACGAGGAACUCCGAUUGCGCAGGCAGCUUACUAGGCCAUAACUGACGCUCAGGCACGAAGGCGUGGGGAUCAAACAGGAUUAGAUACU
RNAcentral lists this ribosomal RNA (263 nucleotides) under uncultured prokaryote. RNAcentral describes it as "partial 16S ribosomal RNA". It matches the Rfam family "Bacterial small subunit ribosomal RNA", at positions 524 to 786 of the family's 1533-position model. The record is from RNAcentral.